ACGGCUCAUUACAAUGGCCAUGAUUUACUUGAUCUUGAUURUCUAAAUGGAUAACUGUGGAAAAGCUAGAGCUAAUACAUGCACUAAAGCUUUGUCCUUACGGAAAAGCGCAUUUAUUAGAACAAAACCACGCGGCUUCGGCUGCUUCUUGUUGACUCAGAAUAACUAAGCUGACCGCAUGGCCUUGUGCCGGCGGCGUGUCUUUCAAGCGUCCACUUUAUCAACUUGACGGGAGCAUAAUYGACUCCCGUGGUGGUGACGGAUAACGGAGGAUCAGGGUUCGACUCCGGAGAAGGGGCCUGAGAAAUGGCCACUACGUCUAAGGAUGGCAGCAGGCGCGCAAAUUACCCACUCUCGGCUCGAGGAGGUAGUGACGAGAAAUAACGAGAUYGUUCUCUUUGAGGCCGGUCAUCGGAAUGGGUACAAUUUAAACCCUUUAACGAGUAUCAAGCAGAGGGCAAGUCUGGUGCCAGCAGCCGCGGUAAUUCCAGCUCUGCWAAUACAUAGAAUUAUUGCUGCGGUUARAAAGCUCRUAGUUGGAUUCGUAUCGRUACCYUGGAACCCUYCGGGUGUYUCUGGGUGUUAUCGAUUUAUCGUAAUGUUCGGUUUUGAGUCCUUAACAGGAUUCUUAACAGGCAUUGCAAGUUUACUUUGAACAAAUCAGAGUGCUUCAAACAGGCGUUUUCGCUUGAAUGAUCGUGCAUGGAAUAAUAGAAAAUGAUUUCGGUUCWGUUUUAUUGGUUUUACGGACUGAGAUAAUGGUUAACAGAGACAAACGGGGGCAUUUGUAUGGUCCCGUGAGAGGUGAAAUUCUUGGACCGUGGCCAGACAAACUACAGCGAAAGCAUUUGCCAAGAAUGUUUUUAUUAAUCAAGAACGAAAGUCAGAGGUUCGAAGGCGAUCAGAUACCGCCCUAGUUCUGACCGUAAACGAUGCCAACUAGCGAUCCGCCGAUGGAAAUUAUAUUGCCUUGGUGGGGAGCUUCCCGGAAACGAAAGUCUUCCGGUUCCGGGGGAAGUAUGGUUGCAAAGCUGAAACUUAAAGGAAUUGACGGAAGGGCACCACCAGGAGUGGAGCCUGCGGCUUAAUUUGACUCAACACGGGGAAACUCACCCGGCCCGGACACUGUGAGGAUUGACAGAUUGAUAGCUUUUUCAUGAUUCAGUGGAUGGUGGUGCAUGGCCGUUCUUAGUUA
RNAcentral lists this ribosomal RNA (1195 nucleotides) under Nematoda environmental sample. Its description in RNAcentral is "SSU rRNA". It matches the Rfam family "Eukaryotic small subunit ribosomal RNA", at positions 93 to 1311 of the family's 1831-position model. The record is from RNAcentral. Lineage: Eukaryota; Metazoa; Nematoda.